ACCAACAAACAAUACCAAACACGAUUUAUACAAAUAUCAGAGUUUACAUGGACACAGGGGAACUUUCAUUUUUAUUUUAGUUUUUUUGGUAGUCUCAGUAAAGAUAUAUAGGUUUGGUCCUCCAUAGAUAUAGGCCUAUUCAAAUUCAAUAAUACAACAAUUAACAACAGAGAAUGAAUUAUCGCUUGUGUAUGUUAUAAGGUGACACUUCAUUUCACGUGCUUUCCAUACCGGAGUCGCGGACAUUGAAGCGCGUUCUCGGUAAGUCUUUAGGGUUUAGGGUGGUCCGCCUGUCCCAAUGUCAAAUUGUUAAGUGAGAGAAGGCUCUAUCGCAGACAUUUUGAGCCCUUUAUGCACCCUUUUCUUAAGUCUGCAUUUUGCUAAGGGAAAUGCCCUCAGCGCUGUGACUUGAAACAGACGUCGGGUUACCAAGGGAAUCCCGGAAGCAAACCCGCCUCGAAGAAAGAAGAACGGGAGCGAUCAACAAACCCUGCAAUUCAUUAAUCUGCGGAUGGAGCACGAUGCUCAGUUUACUGGCCACAGAAAAGCAUCUGCUUAUGGAUUUCAUGUGGUCAUAAAAGAGAUGGGACUGGAUGACCGUCUGACAAACGCCCAAGCAGCUAAGAAAUGGGAAAACUUAAAGAAAAGUAUAGGGAUCUGAUACAACAAAUGACCAGAUCAGGGACAGAGGGCGGGGAGGUAACAGCUGCAAGCUGGCCUUUCUUCAACGCGAUGCACACAGCUCUGGGGCAGAGGAACUCUUUCAGGCCUCUGAACAUCAUCAAAACAGCUGUUGACUCAGAUGUUGAAGAGGAGCCUGAUGAGGUGGCCAGUACCUCUGCUCUUGGGCUAUCCACUACCCUGUCUGAAGGUUCCAGAAGUAUCAAAUCCCGAAAAAGAAAAAAUGAGGUUAUAGAGUACCUGAAGGAAUACACAGAAAGGCAAGAAAAGAGGCAGAGAGAGCUGGAUGAAAGGGAGGAAGAGAGGGAAAAUAAAAAGCAGGACCAAAUAGACAAACUUAUUUGCAUCUUAGGGAAGUUGGUGGAAAAGCAGUAGUUGUUUCAUUUGUUUGUUGGAAUAUUUUCAUGCAUUAUCAACCCCAUGGAUUGGUCAGUUAUGAUUUUAUGAAGUCCUAAUUUUAAAUGAUGUUGUUUUAUAGAUUUGUUUCUUAAGUCAGAUGAUGGUUUAAAGCUGCAUGACAUUAAACAUGAGUUGCUUUA
Molecule: long non-coding RNA, 1220 nt
Organism: Hypomesus transpacificus
Lineage: Eukaryota; Metazoa; Chordata; Actinopteri; Osmeriformes; Osmeridae
Exons: 5
Source: RefSeq, a predicted model, not a curated record